CGCCGAUCUCUAUCAACAUCGCAUGGCGCAAAAUGGCCGGAAUCGCAAUGCUUCCCACGGUUGAAAAUCCCGUCAGGAACUUUGCAGCAUCAGCCCAGCUAUAACAGUCCAGAUAGAAGCGACUCGGACGAAGAGCUUCCGAAGAACAAGCAAGGCAUUGGAACCAUCACGUACAUGAGAGCUGGAGAAGAAGAAUCAAAGCAACGAACACCCAAAGUUGAUCGAGGUACCUGUGAGCAUUGGCCACCAAUUGCUGUACAAGGCACAAGCCUGUGAAAGAAAACGAGUUUUAAUCCACCAGAGAGAAAUCUUCCAUCUA
Molecule: long non-coding RNA, 319 nt
Organism: Selaginella moellendorffii
Lineage: Eukaryota; Viridiplantae; Streptophyta; Lycopodiopsida; Selaginellales; Selaginellaceae
Exons: 2
Source: RefSeq, a predicted model, not a curated record